RNAcentral lists this ribosomal RNA (479 nucleotides) under Eidophelus fulvipennis. RNAcentral's name for it is "Scolytogenes fulvipennis partial large subunit ribosomal RNA". Lineage: Eukaryota; Metazoa; Arthropoda; Insecta; Coleoptera; Curculionidae. The record is from RNAcentral.
AGGCAGGCUUCGGGCGGAUCGGUUGACGGAAGAAGUGCUUGCACUUUUUCCGCUCCGUCCAUCCGAAGAUCCGGUCGCGAACGCGUGCACUUUUCUCCUGGUAGGACGUCGCGAUCCGAUGGGUGUCGGUCUACGGUUUCGGGGGGAGUCCGUCGGUACGGAAUACUCGUCUAACCGGCUGGGCCCCGAAAGCCCGACCGACUCGCUAGACGGUAUAAAAAUGGUUAGAGGCCGCUCUUUGGAGCGUCCGACUCGCGGCAAGCGCGUUAGUUCGUGUCGGUGAUCGGACCUAGUGCCGUUCCCGACCGCUGGCGUCUGUUGGCCGCGAUGCUCUUGGACAGACCUCUUUAACCGAUNUGCGACGCUAUAGCUUUGGGUACUUUCAGGACCCGUCUUGAAACACGGACCAAGGAGUCUAGCAUAUGCGCGAGUCAUUGGGAUUCACUAAACCUAAAGGCGCAAUGAAAGUAAAGGUCUUC